RNAcentral lists this long non-coding RNA (2300 nucleotides) under Mus musculus (house mouse). RNAcentral describes it as "predicted gene, 47235". Lineage: Eukaryota; Metazoa; Chordata; Mammalia; Rodentia; Muridae. The record is from RNAcentral.
CCCAACGCCUCCUUCUCCAGCCAGCGACCUACCAAACUGCAAUUUCAACUCUACUGUUGAGUUGUGGACAGGGCUCCUUUUCUGCCUAGCUUCUGACACCCACGACCCUAUAGCCCUAUGGCCAUGGGGCCACACUUUCCUAGGUCUCUGUUGUAUGUCUGUGCUACAUGUCUCCUUCCCUGGGCAGCAGGCAGCCUUCUUGGGCUUUGAGCAGAGCAGAGCCCCUCCCCAAGGCCUGGGUGGGUGUGAUUAGCAUGGGAGAAACAGGUGUGCCAGAGCCGUCUCUGCAAGACCUCCAUGACCUCAAGGUCACCUGCAGGGUCAUCUCCACAUCCUUAGGAAGAGAGAUCAGUUACCCUCUGACCAGGGACUGCAGAGCUGUUGUGGAAAGCAAAGCAGCGCACGCAGGCUAGCACAUCUGAGAUGGAGCAGACCGCGUUCUAGACCCGCUCGGUGGCACUGUGGCAGAUUCUCCUUCUGCACGGCUCCCAGGCUGGUCAGCAAGGAUUCCCAGGCUCUGAGGUUGUCUGACAAGGAAGAAACCAUGAGAGCAUAGGAAGAUGCCUCUCAGGGAAGAAAACUGAUGGAAUGUCCCAUCUGGGAAGAGUGGAGGAGGGAUGGGGAGCACGAGCCAAUGGCAGGCUUGGGAAGGCCCUGAAACUCUGGUGGAGCAUUUUGCUUGUCUUUUCCUUUUCCUUCUUGUGGUAGGCUAUGGCCCAAGAUGGAGGAGACAUAAUGCUUACUUAUCUGAGGCAGGGAGGGCUAAGUGCUGCCUAGGUAGACUUGGGAGAAGCCAAGCUCUCCUGGUCCCUUGAAUUGUCAGCUCAGCUACAAAGCCCAAGUUUCUGAAUAUGCCUUGCCUUGUGCCAGGCCCUGGGCCUCAAGAAAAGUGGUUGCUGACUGCAGGGAGCAGAGUUGUGGUAUCAAAAACAGUUGGAAAGCGGGCUCAUCCUCCCUUGCUUUGAACUUCCAGGGUCGCUCAGAGCCUCAAGGCUGAAAAGCCAACUCCCAACACAGCCCACUAGAACCUAUUGCCUUGGCCUCACAUUACAGGUAGCUCCAUCUCCAAUUCCAUUUCCUUGCUAUGCUCUGGUCACAUGGCUUCUCUCUUUGUCUUCUCACCACAGGGCCUUUGCAUAUGCUGCGCUCUCUCUGGGGUGGGGGUCCACAACUUCUAUGAGUUAAUGUCUAUUCAACCCUUUGGUUCUAGGUCAAACACUAAGACUAGAUGUCUCUCCCGAUUUGCCAAACCAUGUGAGCUUCCCCUGCCCCAGUCCUCCACUUAAUGCUUAGCUUUUCAGAUCUAUUUUUUUCCUGGAUGAUGGUUUACAUCCCUUUCUUUCCACACUAGGGUUGCUGGAUAUGUCCUCAAUACAUGUUCCCAGAAAGAAUGGUAAAUACAGGCUCUCAGUUCGAAUCUUGCUGAGCUUUGUUCUUUUCUUCACCCUGGGACUAGAGUCAGGAUUUGAAGUGAUAGGAGACUCCUGUGCAUCGUGUGUUAAGCAUAGAUUAAAACGGGAGUGAUGGAAGAGGUUGCUGAGGGACAGAAGGGCUUUUGGUGGUGGGGACAGAUAAGUGGGUAAAGACUUGGGGAUGGGAAAGUGCCAUGCAUUUAUAAACACAGGGUAGACAGCCUAGCUUGCUGUGAUAUUUCUCUGAACCCUCUGAACUUCACCAUUUUCUUUGACCCAGGAAACAGAGGCUUGUGGAGUGCUUGAGUGCGGAGAGCAGAAGCCGCCCGAAGGAAGUGAAGUAUUGGGUGACUGCGCAUUGUUGACGUAGGUUGAGCCAUGUCAAAAACCUUAAUGUUUCAGCCUGGUGGAAGUAGCAAAGUCUCCCCUGGGUGAGGCUCAGAGGGCUGGCAAAGCCUUCCUCCUGGUCCAAGGGACAACAAGUGUCCAGUGUAUACAAAAGCAGCAAUUGCUGCUCCACGUCCUGGAUGAUUACAGCCCAAGACUGCUCACCUGCAGAGACCUUCGACGGUGACCAGCUAAGUCCUGGCUCUGCAUUGUGCAUAGUGAACUCUUCUGCUCACUGUGGUAAUGUGUGCGUCAGAGCACGCACACACCCCAUUUGUCCUUAGCUUUCCUGUGUCCACCUACCUGUGGGUCUGUUCUUUUUUCAUUCCCUUGCUGCCGGUAGUCAGGGUUCCAGACCCAAUCUUCAUGGGUCGUAGCAGGUGGUAACUAUUCGCUCCUUCCUGGGAUUGAUUGCCUGUAGGUGUUGCCAGCCCAGGCUGGCCCUUGCUUGACGACUGUGUCAGAAACACAGCCACGUUGUCCUUUACUGGAGGUGGGUGG